Molecule: ribosomal RNA, 253 nt
Filed under: uncultured bacterium
Lineage: Bacteria
Description: partial 16S ribosomal RNA
Rfam family: Bacterial small subunit ribosomal RNA
Source: RNAcentral
GACAGAGGGUGCAAACGUUGUUCGGAUUUACUGGGCGUAAAGCGCGUGUAGGCGGCUUUGCAAGUCGGAUGUGAAAGCCCACGGCUCAACCGUGGAAGUGCAUCCGAAACUGCAUGGCUGGAGUCUCGGAGAGGAAGGUGGAAUGCUUGGUGUAGAGGUGAAAUUCGUAGAUAUCAAGCAGAACACCUGCGGCGAAGGCGGGUCUCUGGGCCGUAACUGACGCUGAGGAGCGAAAGCAUGGGGAGCGAACAGG